AGCAGCCGCGGUAAUUCCAGCUCCAAUAGCGUAUAUUAAAGUUGUUGCAGUUAAAAAGCUCGUAGUUGAAUUUCGGGGUUAGUAGGUUGGUCAUGCCUCUGGUAUGUACUGGUCUCACUGAUUCCUCCUUCCUGAUGAGCCGUAAUGCCAUUAAUUUGGUGUUGCGGGGAAUUUGGACUGUUACUUUGAAAAAAUUAGAGUGUUUAAAGCAAGCUAACGCUUGAAUACAUUAGCAUGGAAUAAUGAAAUAGGACGUUCGAUCCUAUUUUGUUGGUUUCUAGGAUUGACGUAAUGAUUAAUAGGGAUAGUUGGGGGCAUUAGUAUUCAAUUGUCAGAGGUGAAAUUCUUGGAUUUAUUGAAGACUAACUACUGCGGAAGCAUUUGCCAAGGAUGUUUUCAUUAAUCAAGAACGAAAGUUAGGGGAUCGAAGACGAUCAGAUACCGUCGUAG
Molecule: ribosomal RNA, 450 nt
Filed under: uncultured Glomeromycotina
Lineage: Eukaryota; Fungi; Glomeromycota
Description: SSU rRNA
Rfam family: Eukaryotic small subunit ribosomal RNA
Source: RNAcentral